UACGUAGGGAGCAAGCGUUGUCCGGAAUCAUUGGGCGUAAAGCGCGCGUAGGUGGUCCCGUAAGUCCGCUGUGAAAGUCAAAGGCUCAACCUUUGAAAGCCGGUGGAUACUGUGGGACUAGAGUACGGAAGAGGCGAGUGGAAUUCCUGGUGUAGCGGUGGAAUGCGCAGAUAUCAGGAGGAACACCAAUAGCGAAGGCAGCUCGCUGGGACGUUACUGACACUGAGGCGCGAAAGCGUGGGGAGCGAACA
RNAcentral lists this ribosomal RNA (251 nucleotides) under uncultured bacterium. RNAcentral describes it as "partial 16S ribosomal RNA". It matches the Rfam family "Bacterial small subunit ribosomal RNA", at positions 524 to 774 of the family's 1533-position model. The record is from RNAcentral.